Molecule: ribosomal RNA, 497 nt
Filed under: uncultured bacterium
Lineage: Bacteria
Description: partial 16S ribosomal RNA
Rfam family: Bacterial small subunit ribosomal RNA
Source: RNAcentral
GACGAACGCUGGCGGCAUGCCUAAUACAUGCAAGUCGAGCGAACAGAUGAAGUGCUUGCACUUCUGACGUUAGCGGCGAACGGGUGAGUAACACGUAGGUGAUCUGCCCAUCAGACGGGGACAACGAUUGGAAACGAUCGCUAAUACCGGAUAGGACGAAAGUUUAAAGGUGCUUCUGGCACCGCUGAUGGAUGAGCCUGCGGCGCAUUAGCUAGUUGGUAGGGUAAAGGCCUACCAAGGCGACGAUGCGUAGCCGACCUGAGAGGGUGAUCGGCCACACUGGGACUGAGACACGGCCCAGACUCCUACGGGAGGCAGCAGUAGGGAAUCUUCCGCAAUGGACGAAAGUCUGACGGAGCAACGCCGCGUGAGCGAUGAAGGCCUUCGGGUCGUAAAGCUCUGUUGUUAGGGAAGAACAAGUAUCGGAGUAACUGCCGGUACCGUGACGGUACCUAACCAGAAAGCCACGGCUAACUACGUGCCAGCCGCCGCUGUAA